CUGCACACAGGUUUUUCAGAUCUGGAGUCAGUUGAUGACUUUAAAAUAAUCUUUUCUGACUGGAUAAUUAAAGCUCACAGCAUCUACCUGUCUGUAGUGGAUUUUCCCACCUUUUAAAUAAUCUAAUCUCAUUUAAUGUCUCUGUUUUUAGUCUGUAUAAUUUAUCUCCCCACAAAUACACCCAAAGUAGUCUUAAAAUAAAACCCAUAAAACAGUUCAAGAUGACAUACUUUUUAUUUGCUCAUUUAAUGCCAGUUGCCCUCUUUCUCUGUAUGUCACUCAUUCGCUUAUACUCAGGACAAAGUACCAAUUUUUAUGCUGAUGAGUCUUGUAAAAAAAAAUUUUCUGUCUCUCUAUGACAGACAAAUGUAUAUGCUCAAUAUUGCUGUUUUAACUGAUGCUCAAAUUUCCAAGCACCACCUGAACGCCUCAUCGGUCUUUAACUAAUCACUGCACCAACUGUCAUCAUUCCGCUUUGCUCUUUGCUGUGGAACUUGACUCACAUCUGUGCUUUGCCUGUGUGCAGAAGAAGAACAAGGACGAGAUCUCCAGUCUUCUCUCUCACAUCCCAACCCCCCAACCCCUCUAUCCUCUGUCCUGCUCCACCUGUUGUCUCUGCCUUCUUUCCAUCUGUAUUUCACCCUGUGGUUUGUGAGAAAUUUUGCCAAACCAAGAAUCUUAUUGCGGUUUGAUUUCAAAGCCGUGUCUCUCCUGCUCUGUCUGUUCUCUCUGCUAAAUUUUCUCUCUACCUGUUUUUCACUCUUUGGCUUGCUGCUGAGAAAUGCACAAGCCAAUAAAGCAAUAAAGAGUGCAUAUAUUGCCUCUACCUGAGAACAAACUGAACAAACAAAGAAAACUCUAAUUCACGGUUUGAUUGUGAUUUCCCAGCCGUGUCUCUCCUGCUCUGUCUGUUCUCUCUUCUAAAUUUUCUCUCUACCAGUUCUUAACUUUGUGCUUGCUGCUAAGUUGUGCCAAGCCAAUAAAGAGAGCGCAUAAUACUCUCUCUACUGAAGACCAAACUGUCAAACAAAGACAACUGUUUCUGAGCAAUAAAAACUGAAAUAUAAAGAC
Long non-coding RNA from Oreochromis niloticus (Nile tilapia), 1071 nucleotides. RefSeq lists it as uncharacterized. The record is from RefSeq and is a predicted model, not a curated record. The transcript is spliced from 3 exons. Lineage: Eukaryota; Metazoa; Chordata; Actinopteri; Cichliformes; Cichlidae.